GUUGCGCGUGCGCCUAGUCCUAAUAUUUGUUGCGUUUAGCGAUUCCCUGUGUGCAGAGUGCAGUGCAGAAAGAUAUACAAAAUGAAGUUACAUUUACAUGUAGGCAUGUAGCAUCGGUCGCUGUGUGAGUGUGUUAGUGCUAUACAAACUGUAGUAUAUUAUAACUCAUGCAACGUGACUUUUACGAUUGUGCAAACAAUUCCAAGAAUUCAAUAGUUGGCCUUGCAGGUGGUAUCAACGAGGAGUUGUGAUCAGCAUGACGAGUAUGUGGCAGAGGACUCAGCCAGGACACAUGUCCUUCGUGGUCACUACAUCUUUCCUCAUUUCGCCACCUGCCUCGAUGACUUUGGCCCAGCAGCACAUGGGUAAGAAGAUCCGUAUCAUCUACUAAAGCAGUGUCAACAACUCUACUGCAGACCUCAACUCCAGCAUCAAUCAGGAUACAACCGCCGACUCAACUACUAGUGCAGUAUCACCAAAUCACUAAAUGACUCCAACCUCUGGAAAAAGUAUAUAUACUUGAGUGUAUAUGUUAAAGUAAUUAUUUUAUCAAAAUUAUGUCUUUUCUAUAUUUUGUGCAUUUGUAGUAACAAUACGAGUUUUUUCUUUGCUUUCAUUUAGUACUUUUUUUUCGUAAUGUGCUAAUAUGUUUUUAGUUCGAGUUAAAAAGGCG
Bacillus rossius redtenbacheri is the source of this 673-nucleotide long non-coding RNA. RefSeq lists it as uncharacterized. The transcript is spliced from 3 exons. NCBI's taxonomy places the organism in Eukaryota, Metazoa, Arthropoda, Insecta, Phasmatodea, Bacillidae. The record is from RefSeq and is a predicted model, not a curated record.